Molecule: ribosomal RNA, 582 nt
Filed under: Curvularia lunata
Lineage: Eukaryota; Fungi; Ascomycota; Dothideomycetes; Pleosporales; Pleosporaceae
Description: eukaryotic LSU rRNA
Rfam family: 5.8S ribosomal RNA (bases 213-366)
Source: RNAcentral
UGAACCUGCGGAGGGAUCAUUACACAAUAAAAUAUGAAGGCUGUACGCGGCUGUGCUCUCGGGCCAGUUUUGCGGAGGCUGAAUUAUUUAUUACCCUUGUCUUUUGCGCACUUGUUGUUUCCUGGGCGGGUUCGCCCGCCACCAGGACCACAUCAUAAACCUUUUUUAUGCAGUUGCAAUCAGCGUCAGUAUAACAAAUGUAAAUCAUUUACAACUUUCAACAACGGAUCUCUUGGUUCUGGCAUCGAUGAAGAACGCAGCGAAAUGCGAUACGUAGUGUGAAUUGCAGAAUUCAGUGAAUCAUCGAAUCUUUGAACGCACAUUGCGCCCUUUGGUAUUCCAAAGGGCAUGCCUGUUCGAGCGUCAUUUGUACCCUCAAGCUUUGCUUGGUGUUGGGCGUUUUUUGUCUUUGGUUGCCAAAGACUCGCCUUAAAAGGAUUGGCAGCCGGCCUACUGGUUUCGCAGCGCAGCACAUUUUUGCGCUUGCAAUCAGCAAAAGAGGACGGCAAUCCAUCAAGACUCCUUCUCACGUUUGACCUCGGAUCAGGUAGGGAUACCCGCUGAACUUAAGCAUAUCAAAAC